CAUUUAAAGAAAGCGUAAUAGCUCACUGGUCGAGUCGGCCUGCGCGGAAGAUGUAACGGGGCUAAACCAUGCACCGAAGCUGCGGCAGCGACGCUUAUGCGUUGUUGGGUAGGGGAGCGUUCUGUAAGCCGUUGAAGGUGGCCUGUGAGGGUUGCUGGAGGUAUCAGAAGUGCGAAUGCUGACAUAAGUAACGAUAAAGCGGGUGAAARGCCCGCUCGCCGGAAGACCAAGGGUUCCUGUCCAACGUUAAUCGGGGCAGGGUGAGUCGACCCCUAAGGCGAGGCCGAAAGGCGUAGUCGAUGGGAAACAGGUUAAUAUUCCUGUACUUGGUGUUACUGCGAAGGGGGGACGGAGAAGGCUAUGUUAGCCGGGCGACGGUUGUCCCGGUUUAAGCAUGUAGGCGGAGGUUCCAGGUAAAUCCGGUACCUUUUAACGCUGAGGUGUGAUGACGAGGCACUACGGUGCUGAAGUAACAAAUGCCCUGCUUCCAGGAAAAGCCUCUAAGCAUCAGGUAACAYSAAAUCGUACCCCAAACCGACACAGGUGGUCAGGUAGAGAAUACCAAGGCGCUUGAGAGAACUCGGGUGAAGGAACUAGGCAAAAUGGUGCCGUAACUUCGGGAGAAGGCACGCUGACAUGUAGGUGAAGCCCCUGCGGGUGGAGCUGAAAUCAGUCGAAGAUACCAGCUGGCUGCAACUGUUUAUUAAAAACACAGCACUGUGCAAACACGAAAGUGGACGUAUACGGUGUGACGCCUGCCCGGUGCCGGAAGGUUAAUUGAUGGGGUUAGCGGYAACGCGAAGCUCUUGAUCGAAGCCCCGGUAAACGGCG
RNAcentral lists this ribosomal RNA (831 nucleotides) under Enterobacter cloacae. RNAcentral describes it as "bacterial LSU rRNA". It matches the Rfam family "Bacterial large subunit ribosomal RNA", at positions 1121 to 1932 of the family's 2925-position model. Lineage: Bacteria; Pseudomonadati; Pseudomonadota; Gammaproteobacteria; Enterobacterales; Enterobacteriaceae. The record is from RNAcentral.